This 393-nucleotide ribosomal RNA is filed under the name uncultured bacterium. RNAcentral's name for it is "partial 16S ribosomal RNA". It matches the Rfam family "Bacterial small subunit ribosomal RNA", at positions 523 to 918 of the family's 1533-position model. The record is from RNAcentral.
AUACGGAGGAUGCGAGCGUUAUCCGGAUUUAUUGGGUUUAAAGGGAGCGUAGGCGGACGCUUAAGUCAGAUGUGAAAGUCUGCGGCUCAACCGUAAAAUUGCAGUUGAUACUGGGUGUCUUGAGUACAGGAGAGGCAGGCGGAAAUUGUGGGGUAGCGGUGAAAUGCUUAGAUAUCUCGAAGAACUCCGCAUGCGAAGGCAGCCUGCUGGACUGUAACUGACGCUGAUGCUCGAAAGUGUGGGUAUCAAACAGGAUUAGAUACCCUGGUAGUCCACACAGUAAACGAUGAAUACUCGCUGUUUGCGAUAUACAGUAAGCGGCCAAGCGAAAGCGUUAAGUAUUCCACCUGGGGAGUACGCCGGCAACGGUGAAACUCAAAGGAAUCGACGGGG